GAUGAACGCUGGCGGCGUGCCUAAUACAUGCAAGUCGAGCGAACAGACGAGGAGCUUGCUCCUCUGACGUUAGCGGCGGACGGGUGAGUAACACGUGGAUAACCUACCUAUAAGACUGGGAUAACUUCGGGAAACCGGAGCUAAUACCGGAUAAUAUAUUGAACCGCAUGGUUCAAUAGUGAAAGACGGUUUUGCUGUCACUUAUAGAUGGAUCCGCGCCGCAUUAGCUAGUUGGUAAGGUAACGGCUUACCAAGGCAACGAUGCGUAGCCGACCUGAGAGGGUGAUCGGCCACACUGGAGCUGAGACACGGUCCAGACUCCUACGGGAGGCAGCAGUAGGGACUCUUCCGCAAUGGGCGAAAGCUUGACGGAGCAACGCCGCGUGAGUGAUGAAGGUCUUCGGCUCGUAAAACUCUGUUAUUAGGGAAGAACAAAUGUGUAAGUAACUAUGCACGUCUUGACGGUACCUAAUCAGAAAGCCACGGCUAACUACGUG
Molecule: ribosomal RNA, 497 nt
Filed under: uncultured bacterium
Lineage: Bacteria
Description: partial 16S ribosomal RNA
Rfam family: Bacterial small subunit ribosomal RNA
Source: RNAcentral